UUAACACUUACUUUUGUAUGUAUCUUUUUAGAACAGCAGAAUUCAUACAAACUUGUCAAGAGAGUGAUCAAUGGGCAAGCACGGAAAGCUGGGACAAGUACUGUGUCUCUGAAUGAACUGGAUGAGCUGAAGAUUGAUGAGGAAGACCCGUUUCUUGAUGAUGUGUCUGAAGUCAUCAAGGAAGUCGGCAAUACUAUCGAUAAGAACCCUCGAUUCAAACGGCUUACUGAUGAGUUUGCAUGUGUGGCAAAUGAAAAGAAUUUGUGGAAACUUGCAUAUAAAGUGAUUGCAGAUGGCAUUACCUGGGGGAAGAUUGUUACUCUGAUCUGGAUCGUUGGAAAAGCAGUU
This is a non-coding RNA of Pimephales promelas (fathead minnow), 348 nucleotides long. Lineage: Eukaryota; Metazoa; Chordata; Actinopteri; Cypriniformes; Leuciscidae. The record is from RefSeq and is a predicted model, not a curated record.